This 273-nucleotide ribosomal RNA is filed under the name uncultured bacterium. Its description in RNAcentral is "partial 16S ribosomal RNA". It matches the Rfam family "Bacterial small subunit ribosomal RNA", at positions 524 to 796 of the family's 1533-position model. The record is from RNAcentral.
UACGAAGGGGGCUAGCGUUGUUCGGAAUUACUGGGCGUAAAGGGCUCGUAGGCGGCCAACUAAGUCAGACGUGAAAUCCCUCGGCUUAACCGGGGAACUGCGUCUGAUACUGGAUGGCUUGAGUUUGGGAGAGGGAUGCGGAAUUCCAGGUGUAGCGGUGAAAUGCGUAGAUAUCUGGAGGAACACCGGUGGCGAAGGCGGCAUCCUGGACCAACACUGACGCUGAGGAGCGAAAGCCAGGGGAGCAAACGGGAUUAGAAACCCUUGUAGUCC